AUUUAUAGCUCGUAUUUAAAGAGCCCUUGGGAGUCUCCCCGGGCUCGGCAGGGCGGCGGCGACGGCGGUGGCUGCGGAGCUGCAGUUAACGCUGCGCGCGUGAGGUGGCGGGGCGGCAGCCGCGCAUCCCGGCCCUGUGGCGUGUUGGGCGUGGGGGAGCGUCCUUACACGUUCCAGGGUGGCUUUUCCCCCACGUCCUCGCUCGGUUUCUGGAAAGGGGGAGGAAACGCCGCAGCUUCUACAGUACUUUUGCUUAAGACAAAGCCAGGGAUCAGGAAUCUCAAAAGAGCUGGGGGCAGAAGGUUUGAGCCGACUCCACCCCGGCUCUCCAUCGGAGCCCCGAGCGGCGCCGUUUCCUGAUGCUGGCUGUGCGUAGAGGCGGCCUUCCUGGGGGGAGGGGAGAACAAUGCUUCCUGAAAAGCCAAAAGUCGUGGAAUUUGGGGGCGGGGCUCGGGCCAAUUAAAGUGUAUUCGUGGAAAAUAAAUCGCAAGAUAGUGGCAGUGAUGAUCUUGGCGUUCAAUCGAUUGAUCUGACUUCCCAGUAGCGAACUGCACACUGCAGCGCGAAAGCAG
RNAcentral lists this long non-coding RNA (572 nucleotides) under Pan troglodytes (chimpanzee). RNAcentral's name for it is "lincRNA". The record is from RNAcentral. Lineage: Eukaryota; Metazoa; Chordata; Mammalia; Primates; Hominidae.